Molecule: unclassified non-coding RNA, 307 nt
Filed under: Hevea brasiliensis (rubber tree)
Lineage: Eukaryota; Viridiplantae; Streptophyta; Magnoliopsida; Malpighiales; Euphorbiaceae
Source: RNAcentral
CGCUCUCGGUAACUUUCUCUACCAAAUUUCUUCAAGAUGAGCGAAUGGAGCGAUCUUCCAAAGGAGCUCUUACAAACAAUCUCCAAAUGCCUUGAUUCUCGUGUUGACGUUCUCCGACUUCGCUCUGUCUGCACUUCCUGGCGAUCCUCUGUUUCAUUUCCUUCCUUUGAUGAAGAAAUUCCUCCUCUUAUCCUUAAACUUCCUCAACCCAUCGGCAUUGAUGCCGUUCUCUUCUAUGCCACCAUAUGCCGAAUGGAAUUUUCCCAUCAGAAUGCUAAUUCUUCUUCUUCAGAAUCGAAUUCCAAGG